RNAcentral lists this ribosomal RNA (253 nucleotides) under uncultured bacterium. RNAcentral's name for it is "partial 16S ribosomal RNA". It matches the Rfam family "Bacterial small subunit ribosomal RNA", at positions 524 to 776 of the family's 1533-position model. The record is from RNAcentral.
UACGGAGGGUGCAAGCGUUGUUCGGAAUCAUUGGGCGUAAAGCGCGUGUAGGCGGCUUGGCAAGUCAGUUGUGAAAGCCCGGGGCCCAACCCCGGAACUGCAUCUGAAACUGCCUAGCUAGAGUCCCGGAGAGGAAGGCAGAAUUCCCGGUGUAGGGGUGAAAUCCGUAGAUAUCGGGAGGAAUACCAGCGGCGAAGGCGGCCUUCUGGACGGUGACUGACGCUGAGGUGCGAAAGCGUGGGGAGCAAACAGG